This 868-nucleotide ribosomal RNA is filed under the name Suillus grevillei. RNAcentral's name for it is "eukaryotic LSU rRNA". It matches the Rfam family "Eukaryotic large subunit ribosomal RNA", at positions 66 to 907 of the family's 3401-position model. Lineage: Eukaryota; Fungi; Basidiomycota; Agaricomycetes; Boletales; Suillaceae. The record is from RNAcentral.
UAACAAGGAUUCCCCUAGUAACUGCGAGUGAACCGGGAAAAGCUCAAAUUUUGAAUCUGGCGGUCUUUAUGGCCGUCCGAGUUGUAAUCUAGAGAAGCGUCUUCCGCGCUGGACCGUGUAUAAGUUUCCUGGAAUGGAACGUCGUAGAGGGUGAGAAUCCCGUCUUUGACACGGACUACCAGGGCUAUGUGAUGCGCUCUCGACGAGUCGAGUUGUUUGGGAAUGCAGCUCAAAUAGGGUGGUAAAUUCCAUCUAAAGCUAAAUAUAGGCGAGAGACCGAUAGCGAACAAGUACCGUGAGGGAAAGAUGAAAAGAACUUUGGAAAGAGAGUUAAACAGUACGUGAAAUUGCUGAAAGGGAAACGCUUGAUGUCAGUCGCGUUCGUCGGGGAUCAGCCUUGCUCUUUUGCUCGGCGUACUUCCUGGCGAACGGGUCAGCAUCAGUUUUGUUCGUCGGAAAAUGGCUCGAGAAAUGUGGCACUCUUCGGGGUGUGUUAUAGACUCGGGUCGAAUACGACGUUCGGGACUGAGGAACUCAGCACGACCUUCGGGUUCGGGGCUUAGGCCCACGUUAACGUGCUUAGGAUGCUGGCAUAAUGGCCUUAAGCGACCCGUCUUGAAACACGGACCAAGGAGUCUAACUCGCAUGCGAGUGUUUGGGCGAUUAAAACCCGAGCGCGUAAUGAAAGUGAAAGUCGAGACCCCUGUCGUGGGGGGCAUCGACGCCCGGACCAGAGCUUCUGCGACGGAUCUGCGGUAGAGCAUGCGUGUUGGGACCCGAAAGAUGGUGAACUAUGCCUGAAUAGGGUGAAGCCAGAGGAAACUCUGGUGGAGGCUCGUAGCGAUUCUGACGUGCAAAUCGAUCGUCG